RNAcentral lists this ribosomal RNA (499 nucleotides) under uncultured bacterium. RNAcentral describes it as "partial 16S ribosomal RNA". It matches the Rfam family "Bacterial small subunit ribosomal RNA", at positions 28 to 507 of the family's 1533-position model. The record is from RNAcentral.
GACGAACGCUGGCGGCGUGCCUAAUACAUGCAAGUCGAGCGAAGUUUUUCUGGUGCUUGCACUAGAAAAACUUAGCGGCGAAUGGGUGAGUAACACGUAAAGAACCUGCCUCAUAGACUGGGACAACUAUUGGAAACGAUAGCUAAUACCGGAUAACAGUAUUUCUAGCAUGCGCGAUAUUUAAAAGUUGGUUAUGCUAACACUAUGAGAUGGCUUUGCGGUGCAUUAGGUAGUUGGUGGGGUAAAGGCCCACCAAGGCGACGAUGCAUAGCCGACCUGGGAGGGUGACCGGCCACCCUGGGACUGGGACACGGCCCAGACUCCUACGGGAGGCAGCAGUAGGGAAUCUUCCGCAAUGGGCGAAAGCCUGACGGAGCAACGCCGCGUGAGUGAAGAAGGAUUUCGGUUCGUAAAGCUCUGUUGUUAGGGAAGAAUGGAUAUGUAGUAACUAUACAUGUAAGAGACGGUACCUAACCAGAAAGCCACGGCUAACUACGUG